AUCCUUUUGCAGUGGCAGUAUCGUAGCCUAUGAGGUUUAUCCGAGGUGCGAUUAUUGCUAGUUGAAAACUUUACCCAAUUCCUGCCUUGAUGACUUGAAACAUAGUCAGCAGUGGCAAUUUUUGAUGGUCUCUGAGGAGA
This is a small nuclear RNA of Larimichthys crocea (large yellow croaker), 140 nucleotides long. Its record names the gene U4. It matches the Rfam family "U4 spliceosomal RNA". Rfam says of the family: U4 small nuclear RNA (U4 snRNA) is a component of the major U2-dependent spliceosome. The structure of U4 snRNA from yeast and human has been reported. The record is from Ensembl. Lineage: Eukaryota; Metazoa; Chordata; Actinopteri; Sciaenidae.